ACUCCGGUGGCCUAGUGAUUAGAGCGUUCGCCUCGAAAGCGGGAGGUCGUGAGUUUGAUCCCAUUUCGAGUA
Molecule: non-coding RNA, 72 nt
Organism: Potamilus streckersoni
Lineage: Eukaryota; Metazoa; Mollusca; Bivalvia; Unionida; Unionidae
Source: the annotation of a GenBank genome assembly